CUUAGAUACCACCCUGAAUGCACCCAAUCUCAUUCUGAUCUCCAAAGCUAAGCAGGGUUGGGCCUGAUUAGUACUUGGAAGGGAGAAAUCCUUGGGCCAUUUUUAAGA
RNAcentral lists this ribosomal RNA (108 nucleotides) under Octodon degus (degu). Lineage: Eukaryota; Metazoa; Chordata; Mammalia; Rodentia; Octodontidae. The record is from RNAcentral.